UNGUAGCUUCUUAAAUGCCUCUGUACAAU
This 29-nucleotide non-coding RNA is filed under the name Mus musculus (house mouse). Lineage: Eukaryota; Metazoa; Chordata; Mammalia; Rodentia; Muridae. The record is from RNAcentral.